This 253-nucleotide ribosomal RNA is filed under the name uncultured bacterium. Its description in RNAcentral is "partial 16S ribosomal RNA". It matches the Rfam family "Bacterial small subunit ribosomal RNA", at positions 524 to 776 of the family's 1533-position model. The record is from RNAcentral.
UACGUAGGUGGCAAGCGUUGUCCGGAUUUACUGGGCGUAAAGAGCGCGCAGGCGGCCGGAUAAGUCGAAUGUGAAAGCCCCCGGCUCAACUGGGGAGGGUCAUUCGAUACUGUUCGACUCGAAGGCAGGAGAGGGAAGUGGAAUUCCCGGUGUAGUGGUGAAAUGCGUAGAUAUCGGGAGGAACACCAGUGGCGAAGGCGACUUCCUGGCCUGUUCUUGACGCUGAGGCGCGAAAGCUAGGGGAGCAAGCGGG